RNAcentral lists this ribosomal RNA (460 nucleotides) under uncultured bacterium. RNAcentral's name for it is "partial 16S ribosomal RNA". It matches the Rfam family "Bacterial small subunit ribosomal RNA", at positions 338 to 795 of the family's 1533-position model. The record is from RNAcentral.
CCUACGGUGGGCUGCAGUGAGGAAUAUUGGACAAUGGGCGCGAGCCUGAACCAGCCAAGUAGCGUGAAGGAUGACUGCCCUACGGGUUGUAAACUUCUUUUAUAAAGGAAUAAAGUGAGGCACGUGAGCCUUUUUGUAUGUAUUUUAUGAAUAAGGAUCGGCUAACUCCGUGCCAGCAGCCGCGGUAAUACGGAGGUACCGAGCGUUAGCCGGAUUUAUUGGGUUUAAAGGGAGCGUAGAUGGGUUGUUAAGUCAGUUGUGAAAGUUUGCGGCUAAACCGUAAAAUUGCAAUUGAUACUGGCAGUCUUGAGUACAGUUGAGGUAGGCGGAAUUCGUGGUGUAGCGGUGAAAUGCUUAGAUAUCACGAAGAACUCCGAUUGCGAAGGCAGCUUACUAAACUGCCACUGACAUUGAUGCUCGAAAGUGUGGGUAUCAAACAGGAUUAGAUACCAUUGUAGUC